RNAcentral lists this ribosomal RNA (1111 nucleotides) under Candidatus Annandia pinicola. Its description in RNAcentral is "bacterial SSU rRNA". It matches the Rfam family "Bacterial small subunit ribosomal RNA", at positions 382 to 1474 of the family's 1533-position model. Lineage: Bacteria; Pseudomonadati; Pseudomonadota; Gammaproteobacteria; Enterobacterales; Enterobacteriaceae. The record is from RNAcentral.
CCUGAUGCAGCUAUGUCGCGUGUAUGAAGAAGACCUUAGGGUUGUAAAGUACUUUCGAUAGCAUAAGAAGAUAAUAAAAUUAAUAAUUUUAUUGUCAGACGUUAGCUAUAGAAGAAGCACCGGCUAACUCCGUGCCAGCAGCCGCGGUAAUACGGGGGGUGCUAGCGUUAAUCGGAAUUACUGGGCGUAAAGAGCAUGUAGGUGGUUUAUUAAGUCAGAUGUGAAAUCCCUAGACUUAAUUUAGGAACUGCAUUUGAAACUAAUAGGCUAGAGUUUCGUAGAGGGAGGUAGAAUUCUAGGUGUAGCGGUGAAAUGCAUAGAUAUCUAGAGGAAUAUCAGUGGCGAAGGCGGCCUCCUGGACGAUAACUGACGCUCAAAUGCGAAAGCAUGGGUAGCAAACAGGAUUAGAUACCCUGGUAGUCCAUGCUGUAAACGAUGUCGACUAAGAGGUUGGAAGCAAGACUUUUAAUCUCUGUAGCUAACGCGUUAAGUCGACCGCCUGGGGAGUACGGUCGCAAGGCUAAAACUCAAAUGAAUUGACGGGGGCCUGCACAAGCGGUGGAGCAUGUGGUUUAAUUCGAUGCAACGCGUAAAACCUUACCUGGUCUUGACAUCCACAAAAUUUUACAGAAAUGUAGAAGUGCAAUUUGAAUUGUGAGACAGGUGCUGCAUGGCUGUCGUCAGCUCGUGUUGUGAAAUGUUGGGUUAAGUCCCGCAACGAGCGCAACCCUUGUUCUUUGUUGCCAUAGAAUUUUAUUUAUUCAGGAACUCAAAGGAGACUGCCAGUGAUAAACUGGAGGAAGGUGGGGACGACGUCAAGUCAUCAUGGCCCUUAUGACCAGGGCUACACACGUGCUACAAUGGCAUAUACAAAGAGAUGCAAUAUUGCAAAAUAAAGCCAAUCUUAUAAAAUAUGUCUUAGUUCGGACUGGAGUCUGCAACUCGACUCCACGAAGUCGGAAUCGCUAGUAAUCGUGGAUCAGCAUGCCACGGUGAAUAUGUUUCCAGGCCUUGUACACACCGCCCGUCACACCAUGGGAGUGGUUUGCAAAAGAAGUAAGAAAAUUAACCUUCUUAACAAGGAAAUAACUUACCACUUUGUGACUCAUAA